GUUUUUAAUUAUCAUCUAUCUCGAUCGAUUUUUGACACUAUUUGUAUGGAACUUACCUCCGUCAAUAUCCUAUCAGUAGUAAGCAAAUUCGGAGAUACAUAGAAUGCUGAAAAUUGCCGUGAUCCAAGCUGGAAAUAUGCAACUGUAUUCCACAAUAAGACACACGUCAUCCCGGCGAACUUGGAGACUUUCGUCAUAUAUUUCGACACCAGCGAAAUGAUAAGCUUCGUUUGUGUCAACGUUAGUACCAUUAACCAUAAUUAUCCCAACGUGGCAUUCUCCAGUCUGUUCAACCGACUGAUAAUUAGCUUUGACGAACCCAACAAAGUAACUUCAUUGGCGAGCGUCCUGGCGAUGCAUCACGGAUACCGACGAAGUGAUAAAAAUGUGUAAACGACACACACAACACACAUAAAGAUUAAACACAGACACACAUACACGUCAACACACACAUAAACAUCACUGACGAAGAAUUGUAAUACUUACGCCAUACAUAAUAUAAAUAAAUGAACUUAA
Molecule: long non-coding RNA, 516 nt
Organism: Melitaea cinxia (Glanville fritillary)
Lineage: Eukaryota; Metazoa; Arthropoda; Insecta; Lepidoptera; Nymphalidae
Exons: 3
Source: RefSeq, a predicted model, not a curated record